CCUACGGGUGGCAGCAGUCGAGAAUCAUUCACAAUGGGGGAAACCCUGAUGGUGCGACGCCGCGUGGGGGAAUGAAGGUCUUCGGAUUGUAAACCCCUGUCAUGUGGGAGCAAAUUAAAAAGAUAGUACCACAAGAGGAAGAGACGGCUAACUCUGUGCCAGCAGCCGCGGUAAUACAGAGGUCUCAAGCGUUGUUCGGAAUCACUGGGCGUAAAGCGUGCGUAGGCUGUUUCGUAAGUCGUGUGUGAAAGGCGCGGGCUCAACCCGCGGAAGGCACAUGAUACUGCGAGACUAGAGUAAGGGAGGGGGAACCGGAAUUCUCGGUGUAGCAGUGAAAUGCGUAGAUAGCGAGAGGAACACUCGUGGCGAAGGCGGGUUCCUGGACAUUAACUGACGCUGAGGCACGAAGGCCAGGGGAGCGAAAGGGAUUAGAUACCCCAGUAGUC
RNAcentral lists this ribosomal RNA (446 nucleotides) under uncultured bacterium. RNAcentral's name for it is "partial 16S ribosomal RNA". It matches the Rfam family "Bacterial small subunit ribosomal RNA", at positions 338 to 795 of the family's 1533-position model. The record is from RNAcentral.